GAUGAAGAACGUAGCGAAAUGCGAUAAGUAGUGUGAAUUGCAGAAUUCAGUGAAUCAUCGAAUCUUUGAACGCACAUUGCGCCCCUCGGUAUUCCGUGGGGCAUGCCUGUUCGAGCGUCAUUUAACCCCUCAAGCCUAGCUUGGUAUUGGGUGCUUGUCCCGCCUCUCGCGCGGCGACUCACCUCAAAGUCAUUGGCAGCCCGCAUCUCGCCGGCCGUGAGCGCAGCACAGACGCGCUCUUGGCAACGACGGAUCGGCUCUCCAAAAGCUUAUUUCAACCACUGACCUCGGAUCAGGUAGGGAUACCCGCUGAACUUAAGCAUAUCAAUAAUCGGAGGA
This 339-nucleotide unclassified non-coding RNA is filed under the name soil metagenome. RNAcentral describes it as "partial contains 5.8S ribosomal RNA, internal transcribed spacer 2, and large subunit ribosomal RNA". The stretch from base 1 to 120 matches the Rfam family "5.8S ribosomal RNA", at positions 35 to 154 of the family's 154-position model. The record is from RNAcentral.